RNA transcript from Eleginops maclovinus (Patagonian blennie), 6590 nucleotides. RefSeq lists it as uncharacterized. Lineage: Eukaryota; Metazoa; Chordata; Actinopteri; Perciformes; Eleginopidae. The transcript is spliced from 3 exons. The record is from RefSeq and is a predicted model, not a curated record.
ACCCAAAACGCGAUAACUCCACGGCUUUCGAGUCUGUUCGUUCUCUGCCAAUGGUAGGAAAGAAGCGCCGCUGUCCAGUUCUGAUGUUAAACAGUGUUAGCCAAUCAGAAGCAAAACGGGGCGGGCCUUAACACAACGCGCCUCGAUCAACUAAACUGUAGCACAGAUAGGCCUACUCUCUUACUACGAAGGCUGUGACUGUAGUUAAUGGAGAGAGGGGCAUAGGAGCAGGCGCGAUGCAGUACAUGAAACCAGGGGAAAAUACCCUCGAGAUAGAUAAAGGUCUGAAAAAUAAAUGGCGCUGGGUAUGGCUGGAGGAGAUUGGACGAGAUGGCAAACCAUUUAGCAGUUGGUGUAAGAAGUUGAGUGAGACAGGCGCUUGCUUCUGCACGCUGUGCUCCAGGAGGCUAAUAUAUGCAUCCAGCGGCAAAAAGGUUCUUCGUAAACACGAAUCAGACCCUCGUCACCUAGCUGCUGUUCGUGCUGUCCCACACACGACGCGUUUACCAGGAGCAACAACAACAUCUGAUGUACCGGCUUCCAUAACUGACCGUGUGUGUGAGUUAAAAAUACGGGUGUGUGCAUUUCUCGCAGAACACGACCUCUCCUUCACGCUAUCACAACCCCUGGUCGAGCUGUGUAAAAAAGUAGCGGAAGAUAAAAUUGCACUAAGUAAAAUGUCCAUUUCAAAUCAGCUGGCCAGCUAUUUCAACACUCACGGGAUAACACCUGAGUUUAAAAGGCAAAUUUCCACCAAACUGAAAAACAACAUGUUUUCCCUGAACGUCGACGAGGCCACCAAUAAUAACAUGGAUAAAGUCCUCAAUGUUCUUGUUCGUUUUUUUGACAAUGAGGAAAAUGCUGUUAAAACGCAACACCUCGCUAGUCGAAAAAUGAACAUAGCCAAUGCUGCAGCACUUACCCAGGAAUUGAAGGAUGUGCUGCAGUCCUAUGGUUUAGGGCUGCAGCAGGUGACCAGUAUUUUACUGGACAAUUGUGCGGUUAUGCGGGGAAAGAAGUCCGGUCUCGAGACACAGUUGCGCAGGGAGAACCCGCACCUGCUGGAUAUAUCUGGCGACACAGUCCAUAUGGUUUCUAACGGUGCAAAAGCCAUGAUGAGCCCUUUCAAGGCAGAGGUGGAAGAUUUCUGCUCGGAUGUGUUUUAUGACAUAGAGAAGUCUCCGAAACAGAAAGAAAUAUUUUCGGAAUUCCAGAGAUUACUCCAUCUUACACCGAAGAGCUUGAUCAGGCCCAUCAGUAACAGGUUCCUGCAGAUGUUGGAGGUGUGCAAUAGGGUGAGAGAACUCCUGGAUGUCCUGAUUGUGCACUACUACAACCUACUGGAUCCGGGCGAAGAGCAUAAAUACAGGUAGGUACAAAGCAUUUAAAAAUGUGUGUGAAUUAAAUCGUAUUUGUCACAGUAUAGCCUCUCAGCCUGGCUCAAAAUACGCGACUAUCGUGUCCGAUUCUCGGCUGAGACCCCCCCUUACGACAAUUGCGAUUGUCUUUGUGUGCGGCGAAACCCAAUGUAAAAGUCGGACACAAAGUCGGGACUUGUGUAGUUUUAGCCUAGUCGUUUCUAUGAGCACUCUUCACAAAAUAACACAGAGUACACAGCAGAGGUCCUCUUUAUUUGCUCACCCGUGCGGUUACCUGGCAUACAUGCGUGCUUUUAAAUGUUGACAACAUCCGAAACCUACACCUACGAGCCGCGUCUUAUCCCUUGCGCUGUCAUUCAGCAGCACCCCGUUGGGAUUGAUAGUUGAUAUAUAACUAUUUUGUCUUGCGCGAAAAUAAAACGACCUUCCUUUUUAAGGAGCUUUUUUCUUUUCUUUUUUUGAACAUGUGUUAUAUUCUGGCCUAUAGCCUUCCCUUAUGAGAAAAUGUGUUGUAGUGCAGAAUCAAGCUGUUUUUUUUAAUAGUGGCUAUAACGGCUUUAUAGUAUUGCUGUAGUUAAUGCAACACAUGAAACUGCCAGCUAUAUGCUGUAUGAUGAUAUGAUAAAAAUAUUGCAUUACUGACAGUUUUUUUUUUCAUUAAAAAAAUAAAAUAGGGAUGUAUUAGUGUAUUGUCUAUAAUGCUGUAUGUUAUAACAUGCAGCCUUAAUCCCCAUAUGGUUUUAUAAGAGGGAGCAUAACGUGGGUGUGUGUGUGUGUGCACUCCAGAAAGUUACUCAAACAAGUCCUUGAAAGGCACGAGGUCUCGCCUCAGGAAAGGGCCAGAAUAGAGGUUCUGCAAGGAGAACAGGCCACAGCAUCCAGGACCCAAACAAACCAGAGCCGGAAGGAACGCAUCUCUGUGCUAUUCACAGAUUUUGAUAGGCUCACAGUCUUGAUUGACCUGUUCAGAGGUAUCUUGAAUGAGUAGGAAAAUCCAUGGCUAGUUUACAUACAUUUAUUUAUUACUUGGUGGUAAUGGCCCAGCUCUCCUGGAUGGCAUAGCUUUUUAGUUAAGACAAGGUGCAAAUGGAACAGUUAGGUCUAUUUUUCAACAAAAGUAAUCCACCUCAAGAGAAUUCCUUACAGCAUUGUAUAGUUAGUAACUGUACUGUAAUUACCUAGUUGCAUAGUAGUAACUGAUGUCUUGUUCUAAGUUUUAAUUACAACUAAUGGAAACAUGCCUAAAUGUUUUUUGUAUGUUUACAGGUGUCCUUCCAACAUUUCAGGCAUUUCUGAAAAAACUGCAACAUGAGAAACCAAUGGUGCACUUGUUGCAUGUUGAAAUGUUGGCACUGGUAAGAGAGCUGCUAAGCAAAUUCAUGAAGCCAGGAGCUAUCCCCCUGAGUGUCAAAGAGAUCCUCAAGAUCAAUGUACGGGAUGCAGCGUUACAGCUGCCUAACAAAUCCCUGUGUGUUGGAAAAUAUGGAUACUCUGCCAUGACCAAGGCCCGUGUGGCGAAGACACUGUGGGUUGGAAACUUGUACAACUCCCUCAGAGAGGGCUACAUGAAGGCAGCAGAGUUUCUACUCAAAAACCUUCCCCUCGACAACCACAUGGUCACCUCACUCUCGGCUCUGACCCCAUCCCUCAUACAGUGUGACUCCUUAGGUUCAGCAUUCAUGGCAUUAGGGAAGGCCUUGCCUAAUGUGGUUCCACCUGAAGCACUCGGCCCACUGCGGGAGGAGGUUCGUGCAUACCAAAUAGAUGCUGACCUGGUACCUCUGGCCAAUACCUAUGUUGAAGAAAACAGCCGAGUGGAUGUGGACUGGUGGAGUCAGGUGGCACUUCUAAGAAAUUCAGAAAGAGGUGUGAGAUACCCAACCCUGAUCAAACUUGUGAAAGCCCUUCUUUCAAUUUUCACAGGCCCGCUGGUGGAGGGGUCUUUCAACAUAAUGGAUGACAUACUGGAGGCAGACAGGUGCAGGAUGAAUGUGGAAACGUAUGAGAGCCUCGCCAUAAUUAAGUCAACAAUGAAAGCCAGGAAGUGGACGGCCUCAACAAUGUUAAUUGACCAGCCUUUAAGGAAUUCUUGCCUUUCCUCCUAUAAAACAUACCAACUCCACCUAGAGAAAAAGAAGGCAAGAGAACAGGGAAUGAGGGAGAAAAGGAUGAGUGAGGCCAUGAGGGUGAGGUCUACAGCGGUGGCAAACAGAAUAGUGACCCAGGCGAAGAAAUCAAAAGGGCCAUCCUCUUCCUCCACUAGGCCAGCUGCCUCACCUAGACCAACCAGACCUUCACCAAAGACCAUCUCCUCUGCAAAAACAAGACCUUUUCGACCCACUGGGCCCUCCACCACCUCCUCUGGGGCAGCUAAAAAGCCAUCCAGCUCCUCCUCUGGGCCCUCUGCCUCCUCGUCUGGGGCAACUAAUAAGCCUUCCGCCUCCUCAUCUGGGCCCUCUGCCUCCUCAUCUGGGCCCUCUGCCUCCUCAUCUGGGCCCUCUGCCUUCUCAUCUGGGCCCUCUGCUUCCUCAUCUGGGCCCUCUGCCUCCUCCUCUGGGCCAUCCACUGCAUCCUCUGGGCAACCAAAGUUAUUUUCUCUGUUUCAUGGUCCAGCCAAGAAAUCCUCUUCAAUAGCCUCAACUACCUCUGGAAAAAGGAAGAGUUCGGAUGACUCAGAACCCGGAAAAAAGAGGAAAAAAUAGAGCACUUUGUUUCAUUUUUUGAAUCUAGUUUUGAUAACUUAAACCCCACUAAAAAGUACUUUGGAGAUACAAAUGCACUUUGUUUAUUUCUUUCUAUUUGAUUUAAGUUAUCAUUUCAUGUAGGAGUUAAUGUUUUUGAUUACUUGUUUUGAUAUUACUUGAUAUAACUUUCUAUUGGUUUUAUUAACAUCUGUGUAUUUAAUUUGCCAUUUUAUUUCUGAUGAACAAAGUUCAAAGUUAUUGAAAUGUUGAAAUUGUUGAAUUAUUUGAUUUAUUAAAACUGUUUGAAAAGUAAAUCAGUCCUUUUAAUGUACCCUAAAUUUCAGAGUGCAUUUACUACAGCAUGCUCAAAAUUCACUAUUUAAGAGUGUUUUUAUCAAAAGGGGGGCACCAGGGGGGUCACGGCCACGGAAGGGGGCCAUGGCCCCCAGUUUGGGAACCAUUGUGAACACUAUACAAUAAUCUGCAUACAUGUAUAUAGUUGUUUGCAUGAGUCUAAAAAGUUCAGGCUCAGGAUUUUUUUUUGCUUUAAUCCCUGUAUAUCAGCAACUUGUUCAAUCCAAUAUUCCCCUACCCAAAGCAUGAUACAAAUGGUUAUAGAGCACUUUUAUAUUGUAUGACAGAAUACUGCAAAGGUGUUUGAAUUUUGUUUCUGAUAUUUCUUGUAGGAGUGUUUAUGUGACCUUGAUUUGAGGAGGAUGGUCUCUUUGUCCAUGGACGGACCCAACGUCAAUUGGCGUUUUCUUGAGAUGCUGCGGACGGAGCAUGCUGAGCAUUUUGGGGGUGCCCAGUUGGUUGUAGUGGGAAGUUGUGGGCUACACACUCUACAUAAUGCUGUCAAAUGUGGAUUCACUGAGUGGCAUAUGGAGAAGUUCUUAAGAGCUCUUCAUACUAUUUUUCACAAUGUGCCAGCAAGAAGGGAGGGUUUUUGCAAUCUUACAAAGUCCAAAACCUUUGCUUUGCCUUUCUGUGGUCACCGCUGGAUCGAGAACCUCCCAGUAGUGCAGAGAGCCAUUGAGAUCUGGCCUGACAUGAAGAAAUAUGUUGAUGCUGUUACAACCAAGAAGCUCCCAAACCCUGGAACGUCUUCUUAUGACACCAUCGAGGUGGCAACCAAAGACCCUCUUAUUUUGGCAAAGCUGCAUUUUUUCAUGGCAGUUUCACGAAGUGUGACACCCUUCUUGACAAAGUAUCAAACGGAUGAACCUGUGCUUCCAUUCUUUGCCAAUGACUUGGCUGAAUUACUGAAGAAUUUGCUGAGGCGAUUCAUCAAGCGAGAGCUACUGACUGAUGUCACACCUCAGCACUUGGUACGGCUUGAUGUCACUGACAAGCAGUCGAGGGUGCAUCCAAAGGCAGUGGACAUCGGCAUUGGUGCAGAGACUGCCAUAAAGGUGAUCUGAUCACCCAGAAGUUCUCAGAGAUGCUGUCCCUGGAGGUCCGAACUGAAGAAUUUCAGUCCUUCCAGCCAUUCAAGAAAAGACUGGAUGUCUUUCUAAGCAACAUCAUCAGUGAGACCUACCCACAACUUUGGUCCUUUAUCCAGAAGCUUCUACUUCAAUCACACGGGCAGGCAACAGUUGAGCGGGGCUUUUCGGUGAACAAAGAAAUUGAAACUGCUAACAUUCACGAAGACACCGUUGUAGCGCAGAGAAUCGUCUGUGACUACAUCUCUCUCCAUGGAGGGGUUACCAAGGUCCCCCUCACGCCAGCCCUGCUUUCCUCGGUCUCAUCUUCCAGAGCAAGAUAUAGAAUUCAUCUUGAGACGGAGAGAAAAAAGAGAGAAUCUCAAGCAGAGUCAGAAAAACGAAAGGCCAUUGAGGAGAACCUGGAGCAACUGAGAAAGCACAGAAGAUCCAUCAAGGAGGUAGCCGAACAUCUGCUCAGGGAUGCUGAUAAGUUGGCAGACCAGGCUGAAGCCAAGCAAGCAGGCAGCAAGAUGGCGGAGCUAAUAGCAAAAUCGAAUGCCUUUAGAAGGAGCCACAAGGAAAAGAUGGCUGAACUCAUUAAACUGGACGAACAGAUUGCUGCCAAAAGAGCUGAGCUCCAAAAGCUGUAGGAUCUAUUGAAAUGCACACAGGCACACCCACAGACGAAUGCAGGCACACGCACACACAAACACACACACACACGUACACCCCUCACAGUUAUUGUUUUAAAUUAUUCUGUCUCAGGACUUAAAUACAGUGUAGAUUGCAACAACCGCACACAGGCACACCCACAGACGAAUGCAGGCACACGCACACACAAACACACACACACACGUACACCCCUCACAGUUAUUGUUUUAAAUGGUUCUUAAAUUAAUGACUUAAAUACAGUGUAGACAGGCUGUAGGUUACUUUGGGAAAAAACAUCCAUACAAAGGCGCACCCACAGACGUGUGCAUGUGCAUACAUGCACUCCUCACACAGUUAUUGUGUUUAAAUAUGGUGAAUGUUAUGUUGAAGCAGAUCUUUGAAAGCUGUUGUCCUCAGAGCAUAUUGUUCAUUAAAGUUAUUUAUUUGAU